CCUACGGGAGGCAGCAGUGAGGAAUAUUGGUCAAUGGGCUGACGCCUGAACCAGCCAAGUCGCGUGAGGGAAGACUGCCCUAUGGGUUGUAAACCUCUUUUGUCAGGGAGCAACGCCGGCUACGUGUAGCCGGACUGAGAGUACCUGAAGAAAAAGCAUCGGCUAACUCCGUGCCAGCAGCCGCGGUAAUACGGAGGAUGCGAGCGUUAUCCGGAUUGAUUGGGUUUAAAGGGGGCGUAGGCGGAAUGCCAAGUCAGCGGUAAAAUCGCGGGGCUCAACCUCGCUCCGCCGUUGAAACUGGCGUUCUUGAGUGGGCGAGAAGUAUGCGGAAUGCGUGGUGUAGCGGUGAAAUGCAUAGAUAUCACGCAGAACUCCGAUUGCGAAGGCAGCAUACCGGCGCCCAACUGACGCUGAAGCACGAAAGCGUGGGUAUCGAACAGGAUUAGAUACCCUUGUAGUC
This 460-nucleotide ribosomal RNA is filed under the name uncultured bacterium. RNAcentral describes it as "partial 16S ribosomal RNA". It matches the Rfam family "Bacterial small subunit ribosomal RNA", at positions 338 to 795 of the family's 1533-position model. The record is from RNAcentral.